UACGUAGGUGGCAAGCGUUGUCCGGAAUUAUUGGGCGUAAAGCGCGCGCAGGCGGUCCUUUAAGUCUGAUGUGAAAGCCCACGGCUCAACCGUGGAGGGUCAUUGGAAACUGGGGGGACUUGAGUGCAGGAGAGAAGAGUGGAAUUCCACGUGUAGCGGUGAAAUGCGUAGAGAUGUGGAGGAACACCAGUGGCGAAGGCGACUCUUUGGCCUGUGAACUGACGCUGAGGCGCGAAAGCGUGGGGAGCAAACAGG
Molecule: ribosomal RNA, 255 nt
Filed under: uncultured bacterium
Lineage: Bacteria
Description: partial 16S ribosomal RNA
Rfam family: Bacterial small subunit ribosomal RNA
Source: RNAcentral